UGAAAGUGGUGCCGGUGGCUGGGGGAAGACGAAGGGGGCUAGUGUUGCGCGGAAUACCGGGGCGGAAAGCGAACGUAGGAGGGCUCUGAAGUCGGUGGGGCAAGCAUGGAGCUGAGCUCCAGAACUGCCUGCGAUACUGGGAGUCUCAGAGGCCGGGAGAGGUGAGUGGAACUGCGAGUGUAGAGGUGAAAUUCGUAGAUAUUCGCAAGAACACCAGUGGCUAAGGCGGCUCACUGGCCCGGUACUGACGCUGAGGUGCGAAAGCGUGGGGAGCAAACAGGAUUAGAUACCCGAGUAGUC
Molecule: ribosomal RNA, 300 nt
Filed under: uncultured Natronomonas sp.
Lineage: Archaea; Methanobacteriati; Methanobacteriota; Halobacteria; Halobacteriales; Natronomonadaceae
Description: bacterial SSU rRNA
Rfam family: Bacterial small subunit ribosomal RNA
Source: RNAcentral